CGUACACGCGCGUCGCACUCGCACUUCCCGCAAUUCCGAGCUCCCGCGGACCCGCCCUCCGUCUCGGGCUGAAUUCCCCCGCGUCCCGCCUCCGCCCGCGCUACCCCUUCGUUUCUAUCUCGGGACUCGGGAGCCAGGAGAGGGGCGACCGCCACAGCAGCUCCAGGAGGCGACCAGCGGGGCUCCUGACGGCGGUGCAGGAAUUUUUAUUUGGAGAUUUGUGUGAUUGAAGCUACUGGUACUGGAUAGCAGCCAAAUUGAAGCUUAAUCAUGUCAGAAUUAGAGUUGGUUUCUUACAUAACUGAAGAAAACAAAAGAAGAAAGAGAAGAAGGAUUGUACUAUUGUCAGAGUUAUAUUUUGAAUCAGUUCUUCUUGGGAUAGCAUAUCUCAGUUCACAACAGGGACCAAGGAAUUUAGAGUGCUUUAGUGAUGAUGAGCGCAGACAUGCUCUUCGGAAGUAUUUGCUGAAACAAAAGUAUGAUGAGCCGCGUUUAGCUAAAAGAAACUUCAAUGAUUUGUGCACCAUGGGAGAUGCCAUUCUUUGCAUGCUUGGAGAUAUUAAGACCUCAAUCAGUGUUGCUGUGAAGUCCACCGAGCCACUACCACUGCCCAAGGUUACUCCUCCUGCUGAAAUCCUUGCUGCACUUGAAUUGAUACCAGAUUUGUCUCGAUGUGAUAAGUUGAGAUCUUAUGGGAAGCUCAUCCUCAGUGAACGCUUAUUCCAAGCGCUUAUGGAGCUCCCCAUGGCCUUGAAGAAGCAAUUUCUAUUGAUGUUGAAUGAGAAGGAUAACUCUUAAUGGAGUUUACAUGUGCUUUUUGUUACUAUAAUAGUUAAGAACUUGCUGUCCUAGUUACUAUCUAGUUAUUAUGAUGGAUCAAGACUUCCAUGUGUGCUUGCUGUUGUGAUGGAGAGAGACUUUCAUUUGUGCGUGCUAGUUUUAUUGUGUGUUGUGUGCUAGAUGGCGAAAGUUUUAUGUGCUGUCAUGUGUGAUUGAUGGAGAAAUCUAGAUGUGUGCUCGAUGAAGAAUUCUUUUCACCUUCUUUUUGUUACAAUACUACUACUGUACUGA
This is a long non-coding RNA of Brachypodium distachyon (stiff brome), 1071 nucleotides long. RefSeq lists it as uncharacterized. The transcript is spliced from 3 exons. Lineage: Eukaryota; Viridiplantae; Streptophyta; Magnoliopsida; Poales; Poaceae. The record is from RefSeq and is a predicted model, not a curated record.